RNAcentral lists this small nuclear RNA (107 nucleotides) under Salvator merianae (Argentine black and white tegu). Lineage: Eukaryota; Metazoa; Chordata; Lepidosauria; Squamata; Teiidae. The record is from RNAcentral.
AUGCUCACUUUGGCAGCACAUAUACUAAAAUUGGAAUGAUACAGAGAAGUUUAGCACAGUCCAUGUGCAAGCAUAACGCGCACAUUCGUGAAGGGAUUCUCCUAUCU